GGCUGAUCCGAGUGCAGUGGUGUUUACAACUAAUUGAUCACAACCAGUUACUGAUCCCUUUGUUCCUUCUUCACUCCCACUGCUUCACUUGACUAGCCUAUA
RNAcentral lists this Y RNA (102 nucleotides) under Prolemur simus (greater bamboo lemur). Its description in RNAcentral is "Y RNA (ENSPSMG00000015039.1)". It matches the Rfam family "Y RNA". From Rfam's summary of the family: Y RNAs are components of the Ro ribonucleoprotein particle (Ro RNP), in association with Ro60 and La proteins. The Y RNAs and Ro60 and La proteins are well conserved, but the function of the Ro RNP is not known. The record is from Rfam by way of RNAcentral. Lineage: Eukaryota; Metazoa; Chordata; Mammalia; Primates; Lemuridae.